RNAcentral lists this transfer RNA (57 nucleotides) under Salmo salar (Atlantic salmon). It matches the Rfam family "tRNA", at positions 8 to 63 of the family's 71-position model. Rfam says of the family: Transfer RNA (tRNA) molecules are approximately 80 nucleotides in length. Their secondary structure includes four short double-helical elements and three loops (D, anti-codon, and T loops). Lineage: Eukaryota; Metazoa; Chordata; Actinopteri; Salmoniformes; Salmonidae. The record is from Rfam by way of RNAcentral. RNAcentral also lists the same sequence under 1 other name.
UGGCUCAGUGGUAGAGCAUGGUGUGUGCAACGCCAGGGUUGUGGGUUUGAUUCCCAC